ACAGUUGCUGUCUUUCAAUUACAAAACUAUUCUGCCAUUACAAAUCUCUGCUGCUCGCACAAGUAUUUUCUACAAGUAUACAAAUCAUUUUGAGACUGUUCUGGCGCUUCCUGUUGAAUAGCCAAUGGCGAUCCUCAGGUUUGGCUAGCCAACCAUGAAUCUCAGUUCACUAACCAAUCACAGAGCAGGAGCAGCGCCGUCGUCGUGGCUAGUUGUGUGGGUGCAACCAAACUUGGAGUCUACGCUUGGAGCACGCUAGCAGAGAAUGUCUAAUUAAGGAACGGGCUCCGAUGCUAGUUUCCUAUAUUCCUUGAGGGCCUUCAAGAUCACUCCACUGGAUCACUGGACCAUUAUUUACAUCAGCAUGGAGAACAUGUAGCCUACCACUGAAUAGAAAAUACAUCUUCUUCCCUCCUAUAUUUGUUCUUUAAAAUGUGUUUCUUAGGUCUAUUGUAUUCUAGUCUUUGAACACCAUUAUUGUAGACUUCUCCCCUGUCCUGUCUGAUAAAUUUAAAAUUGCAUUUUUAAAUAUUAUUCCCUAAUGCUGGGAUAUGUGAACUUUAAUAAAUAAUUUUAUUCAUUA
Alosa sapidissima (American shad) is the source of this 583-nucleotide long non-coding RNA. RefSeq lists it as uncharacterized. Lineage: Eukaryota; Metazoa; Chordata; Actinopteri; Clupeiformes; Clupeidae. The transcript is spliced from 2 exons. The record is from RefSeq and is a predicted model, not a curated record.